CGGGAAAAGCUCAAAUUUGAAAGCUGGCGUCUUCGGCGUCCGCGUUGUAAUCUCGAGAAGCGUUUUCCGCGCAGGACCAUGUACAAGUUCCUUGGAAUAGGACGUCAUAGAGGGUGAAAAUCCCGUACUUGACAUGGAUGCCCUGUGCUUUGUGAUACGCUCUCCAC
This 167-nucleotide ribosomal RNA is filed under the name Sympodiomycopsis sp. RNAcentral describes it as "partial large subunit ribosomal RNA". It matches the Rfam family "Eukaryotic large subunit ribosomal RNA", at positions 99 to 261 of the family's 3401-position model. The record is from RNAcentral. Lineage: Eukaryota; Fungi; Basidiomycota; Exobasidiomycetes; Microstromatales.